RNAcentral lists this long non-coding RNA (216 nucleotides) under Panax ginseng (ginseng). RNAcentral's name for it is "long non-coding RNA (PGIN_LNC002114)". The record is from RNAcentral. Lineage: Eukaryota; Viridiplantae; Streptophyta; Magnoliopsida; Apiales; Araliaceae.
UUUUCUCCAUAUCACUCCAAGACUUGCUCUCCAUCGGUCUCAAACUAAUAAUCCUCAUCUUCCUCUUCGUUGUCAUCAUCUUCCGACAUAAACUCGUCUUCAUCUAGUUCUCGCACAUUUAUACCUUCUAGGUAGAAGGACCUCAUCCGCUCCCAUUUUUUCCGAUUUUUCCCGACUUGUUCCGAUUUUUUGAUUUACUCCGACUGGGCGACUUUU